UUAGAAAGUCCAGAAACAAUUCCAAAGUUAUUUAAAAAAACUCAAACAAAUGCCAAGUGAAAGAGGAUAGAAUUAAAAUUACAAAGAAAGAUCCGUACGAAGUUUUUAGAGUAGGGUAGUCAAACUUCCAAAAGGACGUAAGUAUAAAAUGGAGUUCAAAUAGAUUCGAGACUAGGACUUAAAAAAUCUUAGAACUGUAUAUUCUUUAGGAA
Leptospira interrogans serovar Lai str. 56601 is the source of this 212-nucleotide small RNA. It matches the Rfam family "Leptospira sRNA 30_255". The record is from Rfam. NCBI's taxonomy places the organism in Bacteria, Pseudomonadati, Spirochaetota, Leptospiria, Leptospirales, Leptospiraceae.